CGGUUUAGAGGUUGAAAAGUAUCCGGCUCCAACGCGCCACCGGUAUUGGUGGGUCGAGAAAUGUGGGCGACAUCCGCCGGUCCCACCUAAACUG
RNAcentral lists this non-coding RNA (94 nucleotides) under unclassified sequences. Its description in RNAcentral is "skipping-rope RNA". It matches the Rfam family "skipping-rope RNA". Rfam says of the family: Firmicutes, Fusobacteria, AlphaProteobacteria, Spirochaetes. The record is from Rfam by way of RNAcentral.